GUGAAGCUGGAUUCGCUAGUAAUCGCGCAUCAGCCAUGGCGCGGUGAAUACGUUCCCGGGCCUUGUACACACCGCCCGUCAAGCCAUGGGAGCCGGGGGUGCUUGAAGUGCGUCGCCGCAAGGCGCGCCCUAGAGCAAAACCGGUGACUGGGGCUAAGUCGUAACAAGGUAGC
RNAcentral lists this ribosomal RNA (173 nucleotides) under uncultured bacterium. RNAcentral describes it as "partial 16S ribosomal RNA". It matches the Rfam family "Bacterial small subunit ribosomal RNA", at positions 1320 to 1500 of the family's 1533-position model. The record is from RNAcentral.